This 68-nucleotide transfer RNA is filed under the name Kunugia undans. RNAcentral's name for it is "tRNA-Tyr". The record is from RNAcentral. Lineage: Eukaryota; Metazoa; Arthropoda; Insecta; Lepidoptera; Lasiocampidae.
AAUAAAAUGGCUGAGUUAUAUUAGGCGAUAAAUUGUAAAUUUAUUUACGGGAGAUUUCUCUUUUAUUA